Non-coding RNA from Maylandia zebra (zebra mbuna), 404 nucleotides. NCBI's taxonomy places the organism in Eukaryota, Metazoa, Chordata, Actinopteri, Cichliformes, Cichlidae. The record is from RefSeq and is a predicted model, not a curated record.
AACAAUACAGCAUGUUUCUCUGCUCCAAGACAUCCGCGGUCCUUUCACACGGUUCUCAGUCAUCCAGCUCAUGGUUGUCUAAGGAGCCUGGAAACACUUCAGCCACCUGGAAAUACCCAGCCUGCAGAAGGAGACGUCGUUCAGGUUGCAGGACUUGGUGGUUAUAGAGUAAAUGCCACCGGCCACACACUCCCUGAUGAACCACCUAAUCUUCAGUGUGCAGACGUGUGUUGCUGACUGUGAGCCUACCAGAUACUCUCAGUGUACUGCAUAUGUGCCAUAUAACAACAGGCUGUGUCUGGAAGAACAUCAAGUAGAUGCACGUGGGGGUGAUUCUGGUGGUGGAGUGAUUUACAACAACAUGAUUUAUGGUGUAAUCAGUUCUGGUUUUGAACGUGUCUGUA